RNAcentral lists this ribosomal RNA (451 nucleotides) under uncultured Acidobacteriota bacterium. RNAcentral's name for it is "bacterial SSU rRNA". It matches the Rfam family "Bacterial small subunit ribosomal RNA", at positions 43 to 526 of the family's 1533-position model. The record is from RNAcentral. Lineage: Bacteria; Pseudomonadati; Acidobacteriota.
CAGGCCUAACACAUGCAAGUCGAACGAGAAAGUGGAGCAAUCCAUGAGUAAAGUGGCGACCGGGUGAGUAACACGUGACUAACCUACCUUCGAGUGGGGGAUGACCUCGGGAAACCGAGGCUAAUACCGCAUAACAUCGCAAGAUCAAAGCAGCAAUGCGCUGGAAGAGGGGGUCGCGGCUGAUUAGCUAGUUGGCGGGGUAACGGCCCACCAAGGCGAAGAUCGGUAUCCGGCCUGAGAGGGCGCACGGACACACUGGAACUGAAACACGGUCCAGACUCCUACGGGAGGCAGCAGUGGGGAAUUUUGCGCAAUGGGGGAAACCCUGACGCAGCAACGCCGCGUGGAGGAUGAAGCCCCUUGGGGCGUAAACUCCUUUCGACCAAGACGAUAAUGACGGUACUGGUGGAAGAAGCACCGGCUAACUCUGUGCCAGCAGCCGCGGUAAUAC